UACGUAGGGUGCGAGCGUUGUCCGGAAUUAUUGGGCGUAAAGGGCUCGUAGGCGGUUUGUCGCGUCGGGAGUGAAAACACCGGGCUUAACUCGGUGCUUGCUUUCGAUACGGGCAGACUAGAGGUAUUCAGGGGAGAACGGAAUUCCUGGUGUAGCGGUGAAAUGCGCAGAUAUCAGGAGGAACACCGGUGGCGAAAGCGGCCACCUGGACUGCACCUGACGCUGACACGCGAAAGCUAGGGGAGCGAACGGG
Molecule: ribosomal RNA, 253 nt
Filed under: uncultured bacterium
Lineage: Bacteria
Description: partial 16S ribosomal RNA
Rfam family: Bacterial small subunit ribosomal RNA
Source: RNAcentral